CUUCACACAACAGAUUCUACUGGCAAAUAUGUUAUUCUUGAGGAGAUGGAUUAGCAGGAUAUCUGAAACCUUCAUAGCAACAUCUUCAAAUUACCUCUUGAUGCUUCCAUUGGAUUUGUGAUGUGAAGGUGCUUUCCAAGUUUAUUAGACUGGAGGAAACAAAUCGUCCGGCAAUGAUCAACAUUUAAGCCCAAUCAUUCAUCACUUCCAUUUUAAAAUUUUGUAAUUGAAUAUCUUGUAUUCUGUUAGUGUUUCAUUGGUA
This is a non-coding RNA of Arachis ipaensis, 262 nucleotides long. Lineage: Eukaryota; Viridiplantae; Streptophyta; Magnoliopsida; Fabales; Fabaceae. The record is from RefSeq and is a predicted model, not a curated record.